AAUUUCUUCAAAAGAUCCUGUCUGACAUGGAGUGCUGAGAAGUGUGGGUGGUCAGUAUAAUUACUCACAAAUGUUAUCUAACUGCUGCCUGCCAAUUUUUGACCACUGGUCAGCAGAGGUGUGGAUGACAUCAAAUCUUGUCACUGCCAGUGUCAGUAUAGCUGACCACUUGCUCUGACCACUGGGCAUUAUGAGGGUAAGCUGACCAGCACAGCUGGAGCCCACUUGAAAUGUCUCCCCUGACAUGAUGUGCUGGUCACUAUACAGUGCCUUAGGUUUUGGUCGGAACUCUUCCUGAAUAGUUCUUGGUUGGAACUGGUAUGUGGGAUGCUCCAUGUCCUGUCAAAGUUUAAGAAAUCUGCACAUGAGAUUCAACCCAUGACCCUUCUGCUCACGAACCAAGUUCAAUACCCAGUGUGCCAGCAGCAUUGCUUAUCAUCCAUCAUGCAACUGUGUCCGGGGAGAUUUGAACCCUGACUUUCCUGCUCGCUAGCCCAGAGUCCACCGCCCAGCUAGCCCAGAGUCCACCGCCCAGCUAUGUGCGUGCUAUGUUGCUUGUCAUCCUUCGUGUCACCCGAGUUGAACACGGACUUGUCAGGACCAGCAUGGUUUAGUGACCUGAAAGUCUGGGGUCCCCUGUCUGUGAGACUGAAGCUCCUACACUUUUAACAGCUGACUGCUAUAUUGAACUUGGAGGGUAUUGACGGAAGCCCCCUACAUUGUUGGCGAGGUUUUGUCGGUGAUGAUACUUGGAUCACCAGUGCCGAGAGGAUCAUCACCCAGCUUCCAUUUGUUUCUGAGCCAACAUGGCUGAUGUACCAGGGGAAAUACAUUUAUGGAGAAAACCACAAUUAUUAAACAAAUGGCUCUCCCUGGCGACAGCAAUGUAGAAGUGCACUGUAAGGGGCGGUCACUGACACCUUGAUCACGGCUGCAGCAGCUGGACAUUUGACCAGCUGAGGUCCACAACCUACAGGUUAAAGGAGAUUUUCUUAUCCGGCAAAGACAAUAGUGUAUACAUCAACUCUGUUAAGAGGACUGGAAGGAAAACAGCAACUUUUUGGCUAUCACCCAAGUCUGGAUAUUAUCCCAGAAUUAACUGAAGCUUGUCACUGGAGGUGGCUUGACAUUGACAUAAAAGCCCAAUUACAGAUUUGUCCUCAAUUCCUGAAACUCUGUAACCUUGGCAACAGUCUGACAUCAGUAUGUUAUCAAAUAUAAUAUCUACAUUUCAUAGAUCAUGAUAUCCCAAAAGAGCUGUACUCAGAAAGUAAAGAAAAUAAAAUCGGUUUAUUUUUUAA
RNAcentral lists this long non-coding RNA (1301 nucleotides) under Mizuhopecten yessoensis (Yesso scallop). Its description in RNAcentral is "uncharacterized LOC110452198, transcript variant X2". Lineage: Eukaryota; Metazoa; Mollusca; Bivalvia; Pectinida; Pectinidae. The record is from RNAcentral.